GGGUUGUGAGGUUAAGCGACUAAGCGUACACGGUGGAUGCCCUGGCAGUCAGAGGCGAUGAAGGACGUGCUAAUCUGCGAUAAGCGUCGGUAAGGUGAUAUGAACCGUUAUAACCGGCGAUUUCCGAAUGGGGAAACCCAGUGUGUUUCGACACACUAUCAUUAACUGAAUCCAUAGGUUAAUGAGGCGAACCGGGGGAACUGAAACAUCUAAGUACCCCGAGGAAAAGAAAUCAACCGAGAUUCCCCCAGUAGCGGCGAGCGAACGGGGAGCAGCCCAGAGCCUGAAUCAGUGUGUGUGUUAGUGGAAGCGUCUGGAAAGGCGCGCGAUACAGGGUGACAGCCCCGUACACAAAAAUGCACAUACUGUGAGCUCGAUGAGUAGGGCGGGACACGUGGUAUCCUGUCUGAAUAUGGGGGGACCAUCCUCCAAGGCUAAAUACUCCUGACUGACCGAUAGUGAACCAGUACCGUGAGGGAAAGGCGAAAAGAACCCCGGCGAGGGGAGUGAAAAAAGAACCUGAAACCGUGUACGUACAAGCAGUGGGAGCACGCUUAGGCGUGUGACUGCGUACCUUUUGUAUAAUGGGUCAGCGACUUAUAUUCUGUAGCAAGGUUAACCGAAUAGGGGAGCCGAAGGGAAACCGAGUCUUAACUGGGCGUUAAGUUGCAGGGUAUAGACCCGAAACCCGGUGAUCUAGCCAUGGGCAGGUUGAAGGUUGGGUAACACUAACUGGAGGACCGAACCGACUAAUGGUGAAAAAAUUAGCGGAUGACUUGUGGCUGGGGGGAAAAGGCCAAUCAAACCGGGAGAUAGCUGGUUCUCCCCGAAAGCUAUUUAGGUAGCGCCUCGUGAAUUCAUCUCCGGGGGUAGAGCACUGUUUCGGCAAGGGGGUCAUCCCGACUUACCAACCCGAUGCAAACUGCGAAUACCGGAGAAUGUUAUCACGGGAGACACACGGCGGGUGCUAACGUCCGUCGUGAAGAGGGAAACAACCCAGACCGCCAGCUAAGGUCCCAAAGUCAUGGUUAAGUGGGAAACGAUGUGGGAAGGCCCAGACAGCCAGGAUGUUGGCUUAGAAGCAGCCAUCAUUUAAAGAAAGCGUAAUAGCUCACUGGUCGAGUCGGCCUGCGCGGAAGAUGUAACGGGGCUAAACCAUGCACCGAAGCUGCGGCAGCGACGCUUAUGCGUUGUUGGGUAGGGGAGCGUUCUGUAAGCCUGUGAAGGUGUGCUGUGAGGCAUGCUGGAGGUAUCAGAAGUGCGAAUGCUGACAUAAGUAACGAUAAAGCGGGUGAAAAGCCCGCUCGCCGCCAGACCAAGGGUUCCUGUCCAACGUUAAUCGGGGCAGGGUGAGUCGACCCCUAAGGCGAGGCCGAAAGGCGUAGUCGAUGGGAAACAGGUUAAUAUUCCUGUACUUGGUGUUACUGCGAAGGGGGGACGGAGAAGGCUAUGUUGGCCGGGCGACGGUUGUCCCGGUUUAAGCGUGUAGGCUGGUUUUCCAGGCAAAUCCGGAAAAUCAAGGCUGAGGCGUGAUGACGAGGCACUACGGUGCUGAAGCAACAAAUGCCCUGCUUCCAGGAAAAGCCUCUAAGCAUCAGGUAACAUCAAAUCGUACCCCAAACCGACACAGGUGGUCAGGUAGAGAAUACCAAGGCGCUUGAGAGAACUCGGGUGAAGGAACUAGGCAAAAUGGUGCCGUAACUUCGGGAGAAGGCACGCUGAUAUGUAGGUGAAGUCCCUCGCGGAUGGAGCUGAAAUCAGUCGAAGAUACCAGCUGGCUGCAACUGUUUAUUAAAAACACAGCACUGUGCAAACACGAAAGUGGACGUAUACGGUGUGACGCCUGCCCGGUGCCGGAAGGUUAAUUGAUGGGGUCAGCGCAAGCGAAGCUCUUGAUCGAAGCCCCGGUAAACGGCGGCCGUAACUAUAACGGUCCUAAGGUAGCGAAAUUCCUUGUCGGGUAAGUUCCGACCUGCACGAAUGGCGUAAUGAUGGCCAGGCUGUCUCCACCCGAGACUCAGUGAAAUUGAACUCGCUGUGAAGAUGCAGUGUACCCGCGGCAAGACGGAAAGACCCCGUGAACCUUUACUAUAGCUUGACACUGAACAUUGAGCCUUGAUGUGUAGGAUAGGUGGGAGGCUUAGAAGUGUGGACGCCAGUCUGCAUGGAGCCGACCUUGAAAUACCACCCUUUAAUGUUUGAUGUUCUAACGUUGACCCGUAAUCCGGGUUGCGGACAGUGUCUGGUGGGUAGUUUGACUGGGGCGGUCUCCUCCUAAAGAGUAACGGAGGAGCACGAAGGUUGGCUAAUCCUGGUGGGACAUCAGGAGGUUAGUGCAAUGGCAUAAGCCAGCUUGACUGCGAGCGUGACGGCGCGAGCAGGUGCGAAAGCAGGUCAUAGUGAUCCGGUGGUUCUGAAUGGAAGGGCCAUCGCUCAACGGAUAAAAGGUACUCCGGGGAUAACAGGCUGAUACCGCCCAAGAGUUCAUAUCGACGGCGGUGUUUGGCACCUCGAUGUCGGCUCAUCACAUCCUGGGGCUGAAGUAGGUCCCAAGGGUAUGGCUGUUCGCCAUUUAAAGUGGUACGCGAGCUGGGUUUAGAACGUCGUGAGACAGUUCGGUCCCUAUCUGCCGUGGGCGCUGGAGAACUGAGGGGGGCUGCUCCUAGUACGAGAGGACCGGAGUGGACGCAUCACUGGUGUUCGGGUUGUCAUGCCAAUGGCACUGCCCGGUAGCUAAAUGCGGAAGAGAUAAGUGCUGAAAGCAUCUAAGCACGAAACUUGCCCCGAGAUGAGUUCUCCCUGACCCUUUAAGGGUCCUGAAGGAACGUUGAAGACGACGACGUUGAUAGGCCGGGUGUGUAAGCGCAGCGAUGCGUUGAGCUAACCGGUACUAAUGAACCGUGAGGCUUAACCUUACAACGCCGAAGGUGUUU
RNAcentral lists this ribosomal RNA (2933 nucleotides) under Escherichia coli. RNAcentral describes it as "bacterial LSU rRNA". It matches the Rfam family "Bacterial large subunit ribosomal RNA". Lineage: Bacteria; Pseudomonadati; Pseudomonadota; Gammaproteobacteria; Enterobacterales; Enterobacteriaceae. The record is from RNAcentral.